UGGGCUUUUCUGCUGCUUGGCCUGCGGUGCCAUCUCAUCUGUUUGGCAGGCCUCCCAGAAAGCCCUCCUCAGUGCCGCAUUGUUCCUGUGCUGGAGGCAGCUGGAGCACCUGGUGCAGACAGCGCAGUUCCGGCAGAUCAGCGAGUGCCUGGUACGCACAUUCCCACACUCCAGGACAGGGUCGGGACCACCCUGCACUGACCCCGCACUCUUCCCUCUUCCCUCUCCAGCUGGCCAAGAGGAGGAGGAAGAAUGCGGCACAGGACUACCUGGGCCAGAGCCUGCUCUACCUACGGAGCCUGCAGGACCCCUGUGCCGUGAAGCUGUGAAAUUCAUUGGUGAGCCACGAGACUGAGCCUCCCCUGUCCCUGGCCCUCCACGCUGCACCCAGGGAGCAGCUGGGGUCGCUGACAGGGCCGUGUGUUCAUAGGGCUCUUAGGGCAGCAUGUGAGGGAUCAGCAGCAGGCCGAGAAAGAGUGCAUCUACCAAGGACUUCAAGGAGUGCAGCGAGACCCCAGUCCAUCUGUCUCCUCGCUGGCCCUUCAGACACUGAAGAUCCUGCAGGAAACGAGGCCACGUCCACCAUGAGGAGACUUGGGGCAGCUCUUCUCCAGGCUCCGGAGUGCAUGGAGGAGGUUGCGCUCUUCGUGGGCAGACAGCUGAGCGCCCUGGAAAGCUCCCGGCAUCUCCUCCUACCCGCUGCUCAGCUCUGCAAAUUUGUCUGACUUGAUGAGAAUCUCUGUAUUUGCAGAAGCUCAGAUCAUCAGCAGCACAGGCAUACUUGUUCCUGCAAGAGGUGAAAGGAUUAUUCUAAAAUAUCCUUUUCAGAUGUAAGUGGAUGAAAUAAUUGAAAGAAGAACUGAUCACACAAGUCUCCUUAUUAACCUCUUUUUCACCAACCCAUCUGUUACCAUCCAGCCUGGUCAAUUCAGUAUAGCAAACUGCCUCAUUCCUUUUAGCACAAAUUAUGAGAUGUAUGAAGAUUUAACAGAAAACAGAAAACCAACCUUCCUUGCAGAACAGUUCCUGAGUGCUUGGCAAACCUAUUAGCCA
Molecule: long non-coding RNA, 1053 nt
Filed under: Phasianus colchicus (ring-necked pheasant)
Lineage: Eukaryota; Metazoa; Chordata; Aves; Galliformes; Phasianidae
Description: lncRNA (ENSPCLG00000019094.1)
Source: RNAcentral